This 1122-nucleotide ribosomal RNA is filed under the name Triticum aestivum (bread wheat). RNAcentral describes it as "partial small subunit ribosomal RNA". The record is from RNAcentral. Lineage: Eukaryota; Viridiplantae; Streptophyta; Magnoliopsida; Poales; Poaceae.
AUGCCAAUUCACGCCAUGAUGGCGUUGGACCUUCCAUUUAAGACAAUUGAAGCUGCCAACAAAAUUUGUAGAGGGUUUCUAUGGAAGGGUCGACGCAACGUACACGGAGGGCACUGUUUGGUGGCCUGGGACAAAGUCUGUUCGCCCAAGGAAUACGGUGGGCUGGGAGUGCCCAACUUGCGCCUUCUCAAUACUUCGCUGAGAGCGAGAUGGUCGUGGCUGGCACGGACGGAUACGACCAGACCAUGGGCAGAAUUUAAUCUCCAAGUCUCAUCGGACUCGCUAGCCAUCUACAGAGCAGCCACGAAAUGCAUCUUGGGGGAUGGAGCCACGGUACUAUUCUGGACGGAUUGGUGGCUCCAGGAGGGACGCAUACAUGACAUCAUGCCAAACCUAUUCAGUGUCGUCAAGAAGAGCGCAACCAAGGUCAGAACAGUGAGAGAAGUGAUGUCUGGGAAAUGGUGGCGUGACGUGUCACCCAACAUGGACGCCCAAGGCAUACAAGAAUUUCUGAGAUUGGUUGAUCGAGUUCGGUUUGUCAAACUUGCAGAAGGGAUCGAUGACAAGAUUGUCUGGACAUGGGAAGAUAAUGGCUUGUUCUCCGCCCGAACAGCCUAUCGUGCUCACUUUGCCGCAAGAAUUGAGGCGGCAGGGGCCAUGGAAAUAUGGAAGUCUAGAGCACCGACAACUUGCAAGUUCUUUUCAUGGCUAGCGGCAAAGAGAAGAUGCCGGACGUCAGACAGAUUACAGAGACGUCUACUGCCUCACCCAGCGGCGUGCCCGUUCUGCAACCAGGAGCCAGAAACGAUUGAUCACCUACUCCUUGGAUGUGUUCUCGCUCGGCAAGUUUGGGUUGUCAUCAUGGGUAACCGGGGAAAGCCUCACUGUACACCUGCACCGGAGGCUGAACUCGUGGGAUGGUGGACCUCCCUCAACAUCCAGAAGAACAAAAGAAAAGAAACAUGGACGGUGAUCACCCUAGUGGCUUGGUCCCUGUGGAAAAACAGGAAUGACAUCGUGUUCAAUGGAGCUUCACCUUCCGUGAAUGAGGUUCUGCGACAGAUCGAAGCGGAGGGACAAAACUGGGCGAUAGCGAGUAGUCAGCAUGCGGUCUCAGGCUAG